CCUAUGGGGGGCUGCAGUGGGGAAUUUUGGACAAUGGGGGCAACCCUGAUCCAGCCAUGCCGCGUGCGGGAAGAAGGCCUUCGGGUUGUAAACCGCUUUUGUCGGGGAAGAAAUCCUCUGGGCUAAUACCUCGGGCAUGACGGUACCCGGAGAAUAAGCACCGGCUAACUACGUGCCAGCAGCCGCGGUAAUACGUAGGGUGCAAGCGUUAAUCGGAAUUACUGGGCGGGAAGCGUUGGAAGGCAGUGGUGAAAUCCCCGGGCGCAACCUGGGAACUGCAUUUGUGACUGCAAGGCUGGAGUGCGGCAGAGGGGGAUGGAAUUCCGCGUGUAGCAGUGAAAUGCGUAGAUAUGCGGAGGAACACCGAUGGCGAAGGCAAUCCCCUGGGCCUGCACUGACGCUCAUGCACGAAAGCGUGGGGAGCAAACAGGAUUAGAUACCCCAGUAGUC
Molecule: ribosomal RNA, 450 nt
Filed under: uncultured bacterium
Lineage: Bacteria
Description: partial 16S ribosomal RNA
Rfam family: Bacterial small subunit ribosomal RNA
Source: RNAcentral